ACGGAGGGUGCGAGCGUUAAUCUGAAUGACUUGGCGUAAAGGGCAUGUAGGCGGAUAAUUAAGUUAGGUGUGAAAGCCCCGGGCUCAACCUGGGAAUUGCACUUAAAACUGGUUAUCUGGAGUAUUGUAGAGGAAGGUAGAAUUCCACGUGUAGCGGUGAAAUGCGUAGAUAUGUGGAGGAAUACCGGUGGCGAAGGCGGCCUUCUGGACAGAUACUGACGCUGAGAUGCGAAAGCGUGGUGAGCAAACAGG
Molecule: ribosomal RNA, 252 nt
Filed under: uncultured bacterium
Lineage: Bacteria
Description: partial 16S ribosomal RNA
Rfam family: Bacterial small subunit ribosomal RNA
Source: RNAcentral